Panthera uncia (snow leopard) is the source of this 749-nucleotide long non-coding RNA. RefSeq lists it as uncharacterized. The record is from RefSeq and is a predicted model, not a curated record. Lineage: Eukaryota; Metazoa; Chordata; Mammalia; Carnivora; Felidae. The transcript has 3 exons.
UUCAUUUGAGGCAGCCCACAGGGAGGGGUGUCGCUGAGGAAACAGAAUCCAGGCCCCCCAGGCCUCUGACGGAAGGGACUGGAGCAUGCUGGGAAAACACAUCCACCUGAGGAGCACAAAAGACCCCAGGGGUGGAGGAAGCUGGCCUGAGGCCAACCGGAGACAGCGAAUUCCAUGAAGUCAAAGACGGAUUUUGUCUAAGUCAUCACUGCUCCACUCUGCCUAGGACAUGACCUUCAGGAGGUGGUUGUGGAAUGAAUAAAUAAAGAGGCAGGUGCCCUCCAGAAUCCUGCUCAGCUCUGGCCUCCUACGGUUCUUCAUCCCUGGAGCUUUGGGGCAGAAAUCACUUGGAAAAGCUUGGAUGACCAUCCCAGAACGUCGCCUAACUUUUCCGUGCCUUGGUUUCCUCCCGUGUGAGGGUUGAUGCCACACAUCAAUCUGGACCCAACUCUUGAUGGAGCCAAGGUUGAUCUCCUACAGAACACAAGCCCCAGGAAGGCAGGUAUGUGGCCAGAGUCUUCACGGCUGUGUCCCCGGUGACUUAGGAAACUGCCUAGCUCGCUAUUUAUUUGCUGAAUAAAUAAAUGACAUAUGUAUACAGCGUAUGAUGGCCCUUAGAAAAUGGCAGCCCCCUUCUUUCUUUUCUUCUUUGCUCUUCCUCCCCUGCUCUGUUCCGUUCCCCUCUUUUUCACCCUUCUCCUCCAGUAUCUGCUCUUGGGUUUGGGAAAAAGAAACCAGAAAGCAGUUCU